This 486-nucleotide ribosomal RNA is filed under the name uncultured bacterium. RNAcentral describes it as "partial 16S ribosomal RNA". It matches the Rfam family "Bacterial small subunit ribosomal RNA", at positions 30 to 507 of the family's 1533-position model. The record is from RNAcentral.
AUUGAACGCUGGCGGCAUGCCUUACACAUGCAAGUCGAACGGCAGCACGGGUGCUUGCACCUGGUGGCGAGUGGCGAACGGGUGAGUAAUACAUCGGAACAUGUCCUGUAGUGGGGGAUAGCCCGGCGAAAGCCGGAUUAAUACCGCAUACGAUCUACGGAUGAAAGCGGGGGACCUUCGGGCCUCGCGCUUUAGGGUUGGCCGAUGGCUGAUUAGCUAGUUGGUGGGGUAAAGGCCUACCAAGGCGACGAUCAGUAGCUGGUCUGAGAGGACGACCAGCCACACUGGGACUGAGACACGGCCCAGACUCCUACGGGAGGCAGCAGUGGGGAAUUUUGGACAAUGGGCGAAAGCCUGAUCCAGCAAUGCCGCGUGUGUGAAGAAGGCCUUCGGGUUGUAAAGCACUUUUGUCCGGAAAGAAAACCUUGGCCCUAAUACGGUCGGGGGAUGACGGUACCGGAAGAAUAAGCACCGGCUAACUACGUG